GAUCCUGGCUCAGGACGAACGCUGGCGGCGUGCUUAACACAUGCAAGUCGAACGGAAAGGUCUCUUCGGAGAUACUCGAGUGGCGAACGGGUGAGUAACACGUGGGUAAUCUGCCCUGCACUUCGGGAUAAGCCUGGGAAACUGGGUCUAAUACCGAAUAGGACCACUUGGCGCAUGCCUUGUGGUGGAAAGCUUUUGCGGUGUGGGAUGGGCCCGCGGCCUAUCAGCUUGUUGGUGGGGUGAUGGCCUACCAAGGCGACGACGGGUAGCCGGCCUGAGAGGGUGUCCGGCCACACUGGGACUGAGAUACGGC
Molecule: ribosomal RNA, 313 nt
Filed under: uncultured Mycobacterium sp.
Lineage: Bacteria; Bacillati; Actinomycetota; Actinomycetes; Mycobacteriales; Mycobacteriaceae
Description: bacterial SSU rRNA
Rfam family: Bacterial small subunit ribosomal RNA
Source: RNAcentral